Molecule: ribosomal RNA, 873 nt
Filed under: uncultured Pseudomonadales bacterium
Lineage: Bacteria; Pseudomonadati; Pseudomonadota; Gammaproteobacteria; Pseudomonadales
Description: bacterial SSU rRNA
Rfam family: Bacterial small subunit ribosomal RNA
Source: RNAcentral
AUUGAACGCUGGCGGCAGGCCUAACACAUGCAAGUCGAGCGGAUGAAGGGAGCUUGCUCCUGGAUUCAGCGGCGGACGGGUGAGUAAUGCCUAGGAAUCUGCCUGGUAGUGGGGGAUAACGUCCGGAAACGGGCGCUAAUACCGCAUACGUCCUGAGGGAGAAAGUGGGGGAUCUUCGGACCUCACGCUAUCAGAUGAGCCUAGGUCGGAUUAGCUAGUUGGUGGGGUAAAGGCCUACCAAGGCGACGAUCCGUAACUGGUCUGAGAGGAUGAUCAGUCACACUGGAACUGAGACACGGUCCAGACUCCUACGGGAGGCAGCAGUGGGGAAUAUUGGACAAUGGGCGAAAGCCUGAUCCAGCCAUGCCGCGUGUGUGAAGAAGGUCUUCGGAUUGUAAAGCACUUUAAGUUGGGAGGAAGGGCAGUAAGUUAAUACCUUGCUGUUUUGACGUUACCAACAGAAUAAGCACCGGCUAACUUCGUGCCAGCAGCCGCGGUAAUACGAAGGGUGCAAGCGUUAAUCGGAAUUACUGGGCGUAAAGCGCGCGUAGGUGGUUCAGCAAGUUGGAUGUGAAAUCCCCGGGCUCAACCUGGGAACUGCAUCCAAAACUACUGAGCUAGAGUACGGUAGAGGGUGGUGGAAUUUCCUGUGUAGCGGUGAAAUGCGUAGAUAUAGGAAGGAACACCAGUGGCGAAGGCGACCACCUGGACUGAUACUGACACUGAGGUGCGAAAGCGUGGGGAGCAAACAGGAUUAGAUACCCUGGUAGUCCACGCCGUAAACGAUGUCGACUAGCCGUUGGGAUCCUUGAGAUCUUAGUGGUGCAGCUAACGCGAUAAGUCGACCGCCUGGGGAGUACGGCCGCAAGGUUA